Molecule: long non-coding RNA, 1199 nt
Organism: Tachysurus vachellii
Lineage: Eukaryota; Metazoa; Chordata; Actinopteri; Siluriformes; Bagridae
Exons: 3
Source: RefSeq, a predicted model, not a curated record
AAUGAAGUUGCACGUUGUGUAACCACGGCGAUGUCAACAGCGCAACGAGAACACGGCGAGUAUCUUUAAUGAAAAACACAAAAGAGUCGCUCAGUCACACACACCAAUUAUCUGUCAAGAGCUUGACAUAAUCUUCACAUCAAACAUCAGAAUGGGGGAAAAUGUGAUCUCACUGACUUGAAGAUUGAUACCACAGCUUCUUUUUGGAUCUCAGAAUGUCUGGCAGACAUAUCAUCGUGUAUGAAGGCUCAUCAGUUGAAGCUCAAUCCUAGAAAAACUGAACUGCUGAUCAUCCCAGCUGAUUCCCCAGGUCAUGAUCUUGCAAUAUUCCUGCAUAAUGAUCUGAUUUCCCUGUCAGUCACAGCUCGCAACCUUGGGGUAACCAUGGACACUCAACUGUUCUUUUCCUUGCAUGUUGCUAAUGUGAUACACUUAUGUCAGUUCCUUUACUACAACAUUAGAAGGAUUGGGCCAUUUUUGUCCACACAGGCUGCUCAGGUACUUGUUCAGUCUCUUGUUAUCUCAAGACUGGACUACUGCAACUCACUGCUGGCAGGUCUACCUCUGAAUGCAAUUCAUCCUCUGCAAAUGAUCCAAAAUGCAGCUGCAUGACUUGUUUUCAACCUGCCAAAGUUCUCGCAUACCACCCCGCUGCUGCGCUCCUUCCACUAGCUUCUGGUAGCUGCACGCAUCAGAUUCAAAACACUACAAAGCCAAAAAUGGACCAGCUCUCUCUUACCUCAAAGCCUCACUCCUCGCACUGCACCUCGCACCCUCAGAACUACCAGCACUGCUUUACCGGCCCCACCAUCUCGCAGUGUAAGAGCUAAGUAUACAACAAAACUCUUUUCUCUUCUGGCACCAAGGUGGUGGAAUGAACUUCCCCUAGGCGUCCAGACAGCUGAGUCACUGGGUCAUCUUCAAACAAUGGGUGAAAACCUACUUCUUCAUAAAAUACUUGAACUAGCACCUUAUCCCCCUUAUUUGUUGUAUGUGUGUAUUUAAAGGAAUAAAACAACUUUGAACAGUGUUUUAGGCUCAUGGUAUCUUAAGUCUGCAAACUAGUGAAUGUAUUCAAUGACAGCGUUAAUGUAUUCAAUAAUAGAGACUUAAAAACACUUUUGUACAUUGCUCUGGAUAAAGGCAUAUUCCAAAUGCUGGAACUGUAAAUGUAAAUUUAAUGUCCAAAUUUGAGUGGG